CAGUCGCCACGGGAAUACGAAGGGUGCAAGCGUUACUCGGAAUUACUGGGCGUAAAGCGUGCGUAGGUGGUGGUUUAAGUCCGUUGUGAAAGCCCUGGGCUCAACCUGGGAAUUGCAGUGGAUACUGGGUCACUAGAGUGUGGUAGAGGAUAGUGGAAUUUCCGGUGUAGCAGUGAAAUGCGUAGAGAUCGGAAGGAACAUCUGUGGCGAAGGCGACUAUCUGGGCCAACACUGACACUGAGGCACGAAAGCGUGGGGAGCAAACAGGAUUAGAUACCCGUGUAGUCCCUGUCUCUUAUAA
This 301-nucleotide ribosomal RNA is filed under the name uncultured bacterium. RNAcentral describes it as "partial 16S ribosomal RNA". It matches the Rfam family "Bacterial small subunit ribosomal RNA", at positions 509 to 809 of the family's 1533-position model. The record is from RNAcentral.